This 468-nucleotide ribosomal RNA is filed under the name uncultured bacterium. RNAcentral describes it as "partial 16S ribosomal RNA". It matches the Rfam family "Bacterial small subunit ribosomal RNA", at positions 28 to 507 of the family's 1533-position model. The record is from RNAcentral.
GACGAACGCUGGCGGCGUGCUUAACACAUGCAAGUCGAACGGAAAGGCCCGGCUUUUGUGGGGUGCUCGAGUGGCGAACGGGUGAGUAACACGUGAGUAACCUGCCCUUGUCUUUGGGAUAAAUUCAGGAAACUGGGGCUAAUACCGGAUAGGAGCUCCUGCUGCAUGGUGGUGGUUGGAAAGUGUCGGCGGUUGGGGAUGGACUCGCGGCUUAUCAGCUUGUUGGUGUGGUAGUGGAUUACCAAGGCUUUGACGGGUAGCCGGCCUGAGAGGGUGACCGGGCACAUUGGGACUGAGAUAGGCACCAGACUGCUACGGGAGGCAGCAGUGGGGAAUAUUACACAAUGGGCGGAAGCCUGAUGCAGCAACGUCGCGUGCGGGAUGACGGCCUUCGGGUUGUAAACCGAUUUCGCCUGUGACGAAGCGGGAGUGACGGUAAUGGGUAAAGAAGCACCGGCUAACUACGUG